Molecule: long non-coding RNA, 271 nt
Organism: Coregonus clupeaformis (lake whitefish)
Lineage: Eukaryota; Metazoa; Chordata; Actinopteri; Salmoniformes; Salmonidae
Exons: 3
Source: RefSeq, a predicted model, not a curated record
UCAGGUAAGAGUAAGUCUAACCUGGGAUGGACGCCUCUUCACCUGGCCUGUUACUUUGGACACAGAGCUGUGGUGGAGGAAUUACUCAAGGCCGGAGCGGAUGUUAAUUUGCCCAAUAAUGUGGGAGACACACCACUGCACAAAGCUGCCUUCACCGGAAGAAAGGAGGUUGUCAUGUUGCUGCUAAGCUAUGAUGCAUGUGCCACUGUCAUCAAUGGAACAGCACAGAUUCCUAAAGAUGUCACUCAGAAUGGGGAGAUCAAAAGCAUGC